Molecule: ribosomal RNA, 118 nt
Organism: Oreochromis aureus
Lineage: Eukaryota; Metazoa; Chordata; Actinopteri; Cichliformes; Cichlidae
Source: Ensembl
GCUUACGCUAUACCACCCUGAACACGCCCGAUCUCGUCUGAUCUCGGAAGCUAAGCAGGGUCGGGCCUGGUCAGUACUUGGAUGGGAGACCGCCUGGGAAUACCAGGUGCUGUAAGCU